UGGGGAAUUUUGGACAAUGGGGGCAACCCUGAUCCAGCCAUGCCGCGUGAGUGACGAAGGUCUUCGGAUUGUAAAACUCUUUUGGCGGGGACGAUAAUGACGGUACCCGCAGAAUAAGCCCCGGCUAACUUCGUGCCAGCAGCCGCGGUAAUACGAAGGGGGCUAGCGUUGUUCGGAAUCACUGGGCGUAAAGCGCACGUAGGCGGAUGUGCCAGUCAGGGGUGAAAUCCCGGAGCUCAACUCCGGAACUGCCUCUGAUACAGCGCGUCUUGAGUUCGAGAGAGGUGGGUGGAAUUCCUAGUGUAGAGGUGAAAUUCGUAGAUAUUAGGAAGAACACCGGUGGCGAAGGCGGCCCACUGGCUCGAUACUGACGCUGAGGUGCGAAAGCGUGGGGAGCAAACAGGAUUAGAUACCCUUGUAGUCCCUGAGCGGGCUGGCAAG
Molecule: ribosomal RNA, 441 nt
Filed under: uncultured bacterium
Lineage: Bacteria
Description: bacterial SSU rRNA
Rfam family: Bacterial small subunit ribosomal RNA
Source: RNAcentral